AAAAAUACCAUAUAUUAUAUAAAAUAUAAAGUUAACUGUACAAGUAACAAGUUCAGUUAGCAAAUAUAUAUAAAUAGUAUCAUGCUACAGAUUUGGUAUGCUUUGAUCAUGGGGAUCAAUAGAAUCACUUGAAGGGCAGCAUGAUGAUACCAUCUGCCUCAUCAUACGCCUCAUCUCCUCUUGCAUAGAGUGAAACUGCUCAUCACUCUGCUGCCUGAGGUGCAAUAUCUCCUCCUCAAUGCGUUGCUGGAGAAUUCGCUCUUGAUCUUCCCUCAUGUGCAUGAUCUCCUCCUCAAGCACUCUAAUGCACUUAUCAGCAACAUGCUCUGUCACCGCAACUAUCCUGUGUGAAGUGGUAGAGCUGUUGAAUGAGUCUGGGUACAAAGUUGAAGCAUGAGAGCCCAAACCGUACAC
Molecule: unclassified non-coding RNA, 414 nt
Filed under: Hevea brasiliensis (rubber tree)
Lineage: Eukaryota; Viridiplantae; Streptophyta; Magnoliopsida; Malpighiales; Euphorbiaceae
Source: RNAcentral